UUUUGCAAGACAGAAUGACAUCCCUUUUGAGGGAGAAAAGAUCUCUGACACCCCCUGCCCACAGCAUGGUCAUCGUUUUAUACCUGAGUCGAAAGUACCAGAUACGGGGACACUGGUACCCACCUGAGCUGCAAGCCCGCACCUGCGUGGAUGAGUACUUGGCGUGGAAGCAUGUCACCAUCGCCCCGGCUGGCAGUGUGGCAGGCCCGUGUGGCGGCUGCCCUUGGUACUGAGCUCUUGCUGGAGGCCCACAAGCUCAUACUCCAG
This 267-nucleotide long non-coding RNA is filed under the name Homo sapiens (human). Its description in RNAcentral is "non-protein coding lnc-GSTT4-2:1". The record is from RNAcentral. Lineage: Eukaryota; Metazoa; Chordata; Mammalia; Primates; Hominidae.